UUAGAGUUUGAUCCUGGCACAGGAUGAACGCUAGCGACAGGCUUAACACAUGCAAGUCGAGGGGCAGCGGUGGUGAAGGCUUGCCUUUACCAGCCGGCGACCGGCGCACGGGUGAGUAACACGUAUGCAACCUGCCUGCCACAGCCGGAUAAUCGGGAGAAAUUCCGUCUAAUACGGCAUAAUGCACCUAUGGGACAUCCUGUUGGUGCCAAAGGUUAAUUCCGGUGGCGGAUGGGCAUGCGUCGCAUUAGCUAGUUGGCGGGGUAACGGCCCACCAAGGCGACGAUGCGUAGGGGUUCUGAGAGGAAGGUCCCCCACACUGGUACUGAGACACGGACCAGACUCCUACGGGAGGCAGCAGUGAGGAAUAUUGGUCAAUGGACGCAAGUCUGAACCAGCCAAGUAGCGUGCAGGAUGACGGCCCUCCGGGUUGUAAACUGCUUUUAGUUGGGAAUAAAAGGGGGCUCGUGAGCCCCGUAUUGUAUGUACCAUCAGAAAAAGGACCGGCUAAUUCCGUGCCAGCAGCCGCGGUAAUACGGAAGGUCCGGGCGUUAUCCGGAUUUAUUGGGUUUAAAGGGAGCGUAGGCCGGCUUUUAAGUCAGCUGUGAAAGUCCGCGGCUCAACCGUGGAAUUGCAGUUGAAACUGGAGGCCUUGAGUGCACACAGGGAUGCCGGAAUUCAUGGUGUAGCGGUGAAAUGCUUAGAUAUCAUGAAGAACUCCGAUCGCGAAGGCAAGUGUCCGGGGUGCAACUGACGCUGAGGCUCGAAAGUGCGGGUAUCAAACAGGAUUAGAUACCCUGGUAGUCCGCACCGUAAACGAUGAAUACUCGUGUCCCGCGAUAUAUUGUGGGACACUUAGCGAAAGCGUUAAGUAUUCCACCUGGGGAGUACGCCGGCAACGGUGAAACUCAAAGGAAUUGACGGGGGCCCGCACAAGCGGAGGAACAUGUGGUUUAAUUCGAUGAUACGCGAGGAACCUUACCCGGGCUUGAAAUGUGCAGGACUCAGGCAGAGACGCCUGUUUCUUCGGACCUGCAUGUAGGUGCUGCAUGGUUGUCGUCAGCUCGUGCCGUGAGGUGUCGGCUUAAGUGCCAUAACGAGCGCAACCCUUCUCCCCGUUUGCCAUCAGUUAAUGCUGGGCACUCCGGGGACACUGCCAUCGUAAGAUGUGAGGAAGGUGGGGAUGACGUCAAAUCAGCACGGCCCUUACGUCCGGGGCUACACACGUGUUACAAUGGGGGGUACAGAGGGCCGCUAUCCCGCGAGGGUGCGCCAAUCCUCAAAACCUCUCUCAGUUCGGACUGGAGUCUGCAACCCGACUCCACGAAGCUGGAUUCGCUAGUAAUCGCGCAUCAGCCAUGGCGCGGUGAAUACGUUCCCGGGCCUUGUACACACCGCCCGUCA
This 1404-nucleotide ribosomal RNA is filed under the name uncultured bacterium. Its description in RNAcentral is "16S ribosomal RNA". It matches the Rfam family "Bacterial small subunit ribosomal RNA". The record is from RNAcentral.